AGCGAACGCUGGCGGCAGGCCUAACACAUGCAAGUCGAACGAACCUUUCGGGGUUAGUGGCGGACGGGUGAGUAACACGUGGGAACGUGCCUUUAGGUUCGGAAUAACUCAGGGAAACUUGUGCUAAUACCGAAUGUGCCCUUCGGGGGAAAGAUAUAUCGCCUUUAGAGCGGCCCGCGUCUGAUUAGCUAGUUGGUUGAGGUAAUGGCUCACCAAGGCGACGAUCAGUAGCUGGUCUGAGAGGAUGAUCAGCCACAUUGGGACUGAGACACGGCCCAAACUCCUACGGGAGGCAGCAGUGGGGAAUCUUGCGCAAUGGGCGAAAGCCUGACGCAGCCAUGCCGCGUGAAUGAUGAAGGUCUUAGGAUUGUAAAAUUCUUUCACCGGGGACGAUAAUGACGGUACCCGGAGAAGAAGCCCCGGCUAACUUCGUG
This 434-nucleotide ribosomal RNA is filed under the name uncultured bacterium. RNAcentral describes it as "partial 16S ribosomal RNA". It matches the Rfam family "Bacterial small subunit ribosomal RNA", at positions 29 to 507 of the family's 1533-position model. The record is from RNAcentral.